ACGGAGGGAGCGAACGUUGUUCGGAUUCACUGGGCGUAAAGGGCGUGUAGGCGGCUUGGUAAGUCAGGGGUGAAAUCCGCGGCUCAACCGCGGAGUUGCCUUUGAAACUGCCGAGCUUGAGGCCGUGAGAGGAGACUGGAAUUCCCAGUGUAGCGGUGAAAUGCAUGGAUAUUGGGAAGAACACCAGUGGCGAAGGCGAGUCUCUGGCACGGAUCUGACGCUGAGGCGCGAAAGCUAGGGGAGCAAACGGGA
Molecule: ribosomal RNA, 252 nt
Filed under: uncultured prokaryote
Description: partial 16S ribosomal RNA
Rfam family: Bacterial small subunit ribosomal RNA
Source: RNAcentral